GGGUGGGAGGAGCAGGGCGACCUCUGCCCCGGAAGAGGAUCUCGAAGUUGGCUCGGCGAAGGAGGAAGUUGAUGGUUGCUAGGCGGCCGGGAGUCGCGAGCUGGUCUGUCCCAGAGCUAGCGUCAGAAAUCGGUUUUUAAUUUUUUCUGUCUUGCGGCAAGACAUUUGUUUGCCUGACGCCCUUACUCCUAAUCCAAAGGUGACUGGAGGUAGGAGGGGUCAGAUUCAGAAGGCGCUCGCCGAAACUGUUAGCCCCAAGCCGCCGGCAUUCUGGGGAGACCCCUGUGCUCCGACUGUGGCCGGGCGACAGUCUUUGGGAGAGAAAACUCCCGGUUCUUCGGGUGGUAGGAGGGGUACCUAAUUUAAGGAACCGUAGAGAGGCUCUUGAAGGCGGCAGGUAGAGCCACAGCUGCUCAUGGGUGCUUCGGGAUUGCCAUUUUAGGACACGAGCGGUGAUUAGAACCUGGGACUAAAUCUAGAAGUGAAGAUAGGUCUGGGACUGACAAAAAUACAGUGAACGGCACUGUUUAACCUCCCUUUGAGAUCUAGUUUCAGGAGCAGUGUGGGCUGGAAGCCCGAGGAGAUGAGAAGGACCAGGUUCUGAGCCAGUUUCAGUUAAUCAGGUUGCACUCUGGCCUGGAACUUGAAACCCUUCAUGGCUUGGCCUCCAGAAUAGCUAACAUUGUCGGUAAGCUCCAUCACACCUGGUUUGAAACAUUUUUCAGUUUUGCUGUGUGUGUACAAAUGUGUAGAGGGGACACCCUCAGAUGGUCCUCAGCUUUCCUUUCCCUUACAUUCUUUUUCUACUUGUUUUCAUGAAUGUACAUGUGCACAAAUGUGGAGGUCAAAGAGCUUUUGUAGACUCGGCCUUUUCCUUUCAGUUUUAAGGAUCUGUGUUCUGGGAUUGUACCAAGGCAUCAGGAUCGUGUAGUAAGUGAUUUAAACUAAGCCACUCUCGGUCGGCCACAUCCAUCCAUCUUGCUUCCUCCCUUCCUUUCUUUUUGGCUUGGAAUUUGCCAAGUUUGCUGACUAACGCUGACUAACAAGAGCGGGUCAGGGGAUCCUCCUGCCUCGAAAGGCACAACCUUGGGCUCACACACGCCUGCCAGUACGUCUGGUAUUUCCUUUGUUGUUUUUUCAUGGGUACUAGAAAAUCAAAGCCAGGCCUUCGUUUUUGUAAGGCAAGGAAACACUUUACCACCUAAUGAGCCAACUGCGCAGUCCAAUGAUGUCAUGAAAGAAAAUACACGAUGUUAUUACAGAAGAAUUACCUCCACUCGGUCUGCAACCCACUCAAAGUUUUUCUUUACCAUCUGGAGUCCUUCUGGAGUUACUUCUUUGAGAUCACGGUAAGACUAGAAGAUAAAACAAAGUUUAAAAAAUUACUUUCUCCUGCUAUCUUAAAACAUGUUUCCUUCAAGUCAAGAUUAUGACGCGUAGUAUAAUGAGAUGCAUCUGAAAAUGCACCUUGACGUUCAAAUGCUUUUUCAAUGGGAAAGUACAAUAGCAAAGUAAGUAAGUUUCAUUUAAGGUCAAAUGCUUUAUUAGCAAAGUAACUGACUUAAGAACUAACAUGUAUACAUAUAGACAGGAUUUUGCCUUGAUUUUGUUAGAACUAAAGCCCCUUGUGGCCCUUAGCCUUGAUGUUGUGAGGCUACAACAUCAGAUAAACACAGCCACUUGCUCUUUUACUGUUUUAGAAUCUGAAGAUGGUAAAUACAAAGGAGAUUUUUGUUCACUUCUGCUUUUUUGGUCCUGAAGGAGGAAUCCAGGGCCUUGUAUGUGGUAAAGAAGUGCUUGCCAUUGGGUUGUAUCUCCAGCAGAGAAAUAAUUUGUUUUUUCAAAAAAGCCUUAUUUUUGCAUGUAUGCUGUAGCUGUCUUCAGACACAUCAGAAGAAGCCAUUACAGAUGGUUGUGAGCCACCUUGUGUUUGCUGGGAACUGAACUCAGGACCUCUGGAAGAGCAAGCAGUCAAGUGUUCUUAACCGCUGAGCCAUAUCUGCAGCCCAAGAAAUGACUUUUAAAGCUAUCAAUUAAGACUACUAUCCUAAGCCGGGCGUGGUGACGCACGCCUUUAAGCCCAGCACUUGGGAGGCAGAGGCAGGCGGAUUUCUGAGUUCGAGGCCAGCCUGGUCUAUAAAGUGAGUUCCAGGACAGCCAGGGCUAUACAAAGAAACACUGUCUUGAAAAACAAAAACAAACAACAAAAAGAGACUACUAUCCUCCCCCCUUCACCUCUAUCACAGCUUGAUAAAUAAGCUCGAAUACCACAUACCUGUUUGUCCUUCUGCUGGCUCCGAUCUCCCGAUGGCCAUAGUCUCCAGGAAUCAUUAUCAAUGACAUCAGCAAGAACAAUCUCUUUGGUGGU
This is a long non-coding RNA of Mus musculus (house mouse), 2368 nucleotides long. RefSeq annotates it as predicted gene, 54291. The record is from RefSeq and is a predicted model, not a curated record. NCBI's taxonomy places the organism in Eukaryota, Metazoa, Chordata, Mammalia, Rodentia, Muridae. The transcript has 2 exons.